This 483-nucleotide ribosomal RNA is filed under the name uncultured bacterium. Its description in RNAcentral is "SSU rRNA". It matches the Rfam family "Bacterial small subunit ribosomal RNA", at positions 26 to 521 of the family's 1533-position model. The record is from RNAcentral.
AGGACGAACGCUGGCGGCGUGCUUAACACAUGCAAGUCGAACGGAAAGGCCCUUUCGGGGGUACUCGAGUGGCGAACGGGUGAGUAACACGUGGGUGAUCUGCCCUGCACUUUGGGAUAAGCCUGGGAAACUGGGUCUAAUACCGAAUACACCUUGCUGGCUGCAUGGCCUGGUGGGGGAAAGCUUUUGCGGUGUGGGAUGGGCCCGCGGCCUAUCAGCUUGUUGGUGGGGUGAUGGCCUACCAAGGCGACGACGGGUAGCCGGCCUGAGAGGGUGUCCGGCCACACUGGGACUGAGAUACGGCCCAGACUCCUACGGGAGGCAGCAGUGGGGAAUAUUGCACAAUGGGCGCAAGCCUGAUGCAGCGACGCCGCGUGAGGGAUGACGGCCUUCGGGUUGUAAACCUCUUUCAGUAUCGACGAAGCGCAAGUGACGGUAGGUACGAGAAGAAGCACCGGCCAACUACGCGCCAGCAGCCGCGGU